ACUUAAGUAGCUUAAAUAGAGUAUAGCAGUGAAGAUGCUAGGGUAAUGUAAUAUUCUUAAGUA
Molecule: transfer RNA, 63 nt
Filed under: Chrysomela populi
Lineage: Eukaryota; Metazoa; Arthropoda; Insecta; Coleoptera; Chrysomelidae
Description: tRNA-Phe
Source: RNAcentral